This 195-nucleotide ribosomal RNA is filed under the name uncultured bacterium. RNAcentral describes it as "partial 16S ribosomal RNA". It matches the Rfam family "Bacterial small subunit ribosomal RNA", at positions 338 to 524 of the family's 1533-position model. The record is from RNAcentral.
CCUACGGGAGGCAGCAGUGGGGAAUCUUCCGCAAUGGACGAAAGUCUGACGGAGCAACGCCGCGUGAGUGAAGAAGGUUUUCGAAUCGUAAAGCUCUGUUGUCAGGGACGAGCAGGGGGAGUAUCAACAACACUCUCUCAUGACGGUACCUGACGAGGAAGCCACGGCUAACUACGUGCCAGCAGCCGCGGUAAU